CAGUAGCCACGGGAAUACGAAGGGUGCAAGCGUUACUCGGAAUUACUGGGCGUAAAGCGUGCGUAGGUGGUGGUUUAAGUCCGUUGUGGAAGCCCUGGGCUCAACCUGGGAAUUGCAGUGGAUACUGGGUCACUAGAGUGUGGUAGAGGAUAGUGGAAUUUCCGGUGUAGCAGUGAAAUGCGUAGAGAUCGGAAGGAACAUCUGUGGCGAAGGCGACUAUCUGGGCCAACACUGACACUGAGGCACGAAAGCGUGGGGAGCAAACAGGAUUAGAUACCCGAGUAGUCCCUGUCUCUUAUAC
Molecule: ribosomal RNA, 301 nt
Filed under: uncultured bacterium
Lineage: Bacteria
Description: partial 16S ribosomal RNA
Rfam family: Bacterial small subunit ribosomal RNA
Source: RNAcentral